AACGAACGCUGGCGGCAUGCCUAACACAUGCAAGUCGAACGAGACCUCCGGGUUUUGUGGCGCACGGGUGCGUAACGAGUGGGAACUUGCACUUAGGUUCGGAAUAACUCCCUGAAAGGGGUCUUAAUACCGGAUAAUGUCUUCGGACCAAAGAUUUAUUGCUUUUGGAUGGGCCCGCGUUGGAUUCGCUAGUUGGUAGGGUAAUAGCUUAUCAAGGGCUUGAUCCAUAGCUGGUCUGGGAGGAGGAUUAGCAAGACUUGGACUAAGACACGGCCCAGACUCCUACGCAAGGCAGCAGCGGAUAAUAUUGGACAAUGGGCGAAGGCCUGAUCCAGCAGUGCCGCGUGAGUGAUGAAGGCCGUAGGGAUGUAAAGCUCUUUUACCCGAGAUGAUAAUGACGGUACCGGGAGAAUAAGCACCGGCUAACUCCGUG
RNAcentral lists this ribosomal RNA (433 nucleotides) under uncultured bacterium. RNAcentral's name for it is "partial 16S ribosomal RNA". It matches the Rfam family "Bacterial small subunit ribosomal RNA", at positions 29 to 507 of the family's 1533-position model. The record is from RNAcentral.